RNAcentral lists this ribosomal RNA (642 nucleotides) under uncultured Pseudomonadota bacterium. RNAcentral's name for it is "bacterial SSU rRNA". It matches the Rfam family "Bacterial small subunit ribosomal RNA", at positions 65 to 702 of the family's 1533-position model. Lineage: Bacteria; Pseudomonadati; Pseudomonadota. The record is from RNAcentral.
AACAGGAAGCAGCUUGCUGCUUUGCUGACGAGUGGCGGACGGGUGAGUAAUGUCUGGGAAACUGCCUGAUGGAGGGGGAUAACUACUGGAAACGGUAGCUAAUACCGCAUAACGUCGCAAGACCAAAGAGGGGGACCUUCGGGCCUCUUGCCAUCGGAUGUGCCCAGAUGGGAUUAGCUAGUAGGUGGGGUAACGGCUCACCUAGGCGACGACCCCUAGCUGGUCUGAGAGGAUGACCAGCCACACUGGAACUGAGACACGGUCCAGACUCCUACGGGAGGCAGCAGUGGGGAAUAUUGCACAAUGGGCGCAAGCCUGAUGCAGCCAUGCCGCGUGUAUGAAGAAGGCCUUCGGGUUGUAAAGUACUUUCAGCGGGGAGGAAGGGAGUAAAGUUAAUACCUUUGCUCAUUGACGUUACCCGCAGAAGAAGCACCGGCUAACUCCGUGCCAGCAGCCGCGGUAAUACGGAGGGUGCAAGCGUUAAUCGGAAUUACUGGGCGUAAAGCGCACGCAGGCGGUUUGUUAAGUCAGAUGUGAAAUCCCCGGGCUCAACCUGGGAACUGCAUCUGAUACUGGCAAGCUUGAGUCUCGUAGAGGGGGGUAGAAUUCCAGGUGUAGCGGUGAAAUGCGUAGAGAUCUGGA